This 77-nucleotide transfer RNA is filed under the name Halorhodospira neutriphila. RNAcentral's name for it is "tRNA-Arg". It matches the Rfam family "tRNA". Rfam says of the family: Transfer RNA (tRNA) molecules are approximately 80 nucleotides in length. Their secondary structure includes four short double-helical elements and three loops (D, anti-codon, and T loops). Further hydrogen bonds mediate the characteristic L-shaped molecular structure. tRNAs have two regions of fundamental functional importance: the anti-codon, which is responsible for specific mRNA codon recognition, and the 3' end, to which the tRNAs corresponding amino acid is attached (by aminoacyl-tRNA synthetases). tRNAs cope with the degeneracy of the genetic code in two manners: having more than one tRNA (with a specific anti-codon) for a particular amino acid; and 'wobble' base-pairing, i.e. permitting non-standard base-pairing at the 3rd anti-codon position. Lineage: Bacteria; Pseudomonadati; Pseudomonadota; Gammaproteobacteria; Chromatiales; Ectothiorhodospiraceae. The record is from RNAcentral.
GCCCCGGUAGCUCAGCCGGAUAGAGCAAUCGCCUCCUAAGCGAUAGGUCGCAGGUUCGAGUCCUGCCCGGGGCGCCA